Alligator mississippiensis (American alligator) is the source of this 76-nucleotide small nucleolar RNA. It matches the Rfam family "Small nucleolar RNA SNORD63". Rfam says of the family: snoRNA U63 is found in both humans and mice. The record is from Rfam. Lineage: Eukaryota; Metazoa; Chordata; Crocodylia; Alligatoridae.
GUGCUAUGAUGUAAUAUCAACACAUCAUUCUGAAGAGAAUGGAACAUGUGGAGACUUUUUUUUAUUACUGAGCACA